Molecule: long non-coding RNA, 1234 nt
Organism: Oncorhynchus tshawytscha (Chinook salmon)
Lineage: Eukaryota; Metazoa; Chordata; Actinopteri; Salmoniformes; Salmonidae
Source: Ensembl
GAGGAGCAGGGUUCUGGUGGAGGAGCAGGGUUCUGAUAGAGGAGCAGGGUUCUGAUAGAGGAGCAGGGUUCUGGUGGAGGAGCAGGGUUCUGAUAGAGGAGCAGGGUUCUGAUAGUGGAGCAGGGUUCUGGUGGAGGAGCAGGGUUCUGAUAGAGGAGCAGGGUUCUGAUAGUGGAGCAGGGUUCUGGUGGAGGAGCAGGGUUCUGAUAGAGGAGCAGGGUUCUGAUGGAGGAGCAGGGUUCUGGUGGAGGAGCAGGGUUCUGGUGGAGGAGCAGAGUUCUGAUAGAGGAGCAGGGUUCUGGUGGAGGAGCAGGGUUCUGAUAGAGGUACAGGGUUCUGAUAGAGGAGCAGGGUUCUGAUGGAAGAGCAGGGUUCUGGUAGAGGAGCAGGGUUCUGGUGGAGGAGCAUGGUUCUGAUAGAGGAUCAGGGUUCUGGUGGAGGAGCAGGGUUCUGGUAGAGGAGCAGGGUUCUGAUAGAGGAUCAGGGUUCUGAUGGAGGAGCAUGGUUCUGGUGGGGGUGAAGGAGCAGGGUUCUGGUGGAGGAGCAUGGUUCUGAUAGAGGUGGAGGAGCAGGGUUCUGAUAGAGAAGCAGGUUUCUGAUAGAGGAGCAGGGUUCUGAUGGAGGAGCAGGGAUCUGGUAGAGGAGCAGGGUUCUGGUGGAGGAGCAUGGUUCUGAUAGAGGAGCAGGGUUCUGAUAGAGGAUCAGGGUUCUGAUGGAGGAGCAUGGUUCUGGUGGGGGUGAAGGAGCAGGGUUCUGGUGGAGGAGCAUGGUUCUGAUAGAGGUGGAGGAGCAGGGUUCUGAUAGAGAAGCAGGUUUCUGGUGGAGGAGCAGAGUUCUGGUGAAGGAGCAGGGUUCUGAAAGAGGAGCAGAGUUCUGGUGGAGGUGGAGGAGCAGGGUUCUGGUGGAGGUGAAGGAGCAGGGUUCUGGUGGAGAUGGAUCAGGUUUCUAGCGAAGGAGCAGGGUUUUGGUGGAGGUGAAGGAGCAGGGUUCUGGUGGUAGAGCAGAGUUCUGGUGGAGGUGGAGGAGCAGGGUUCUGGUGGAGAUGGAGCAGGGUUCUAGUGAAGGAGCAGGGUUUUGAUGGAGGUGGAGAAGCAGGGUUCUGGUGGGUGGAGGAGCAGGGUUGUGAAAUCCUGUGAAACCGUGUUUCAUUUGGCAUUUAAAUUCAAGCCAGGACGCUUAGCAUCGUCAUACAUUACCACAACAAUUAGGCCAGCUAUUCAAUCUGUUGCCUUGC